Molecule: ribosomal RNA, 316 nt
Filed under: uncultured bacterium
Lineage: Bacteria
Description: bacterial SSU rRNA
Rfam family: Bacterial small subunit ribosomal RNA
Source: RNAcentral
GACGAACGCUGGCGGCGUGCCUAAUACAUGCAAGUAGAACGCUGACUACUUUAGCUUGCUAGAGUAGAAGGAGUUGCGAACGGGUGAGUAACGCGUAGGUAACCUGCCUACUAGCGGGGGAUAACUAUUGGAAACGAUAGCUAAUACCGCAUAACAGUGUUUAACACAUGUUAGAUGCUUGAAAGAUGCAAUUGCAUCACUAGUAGAUGGACCUGCGUUGUAUUAGCUAGUUGGUGGGGUAACGGCCCACCAAGGCGACGAUGCGUAGCCGACCUGAGAGGGUGAUCGGCCACAUUGGGACUGAGACACGGCCCAG